Molecule: ribosomal RNA, 301 nt
Filed under: uncultured bacterium
Lineage: Bacteria
Description: partial 16S ribosomal RNA
Rfam family: Bacterial small subunit ribosomal RNA
Source: RNAcentral
CAGUAGCCACGGGAAUACGAAGGGUGCAAGCGUUAAUCGGAAUUACUGGGCGUAAAGCGUGCGUAGGCGGUUUGUUAAGUCUGCUGUGAAAUCCCCGGGCUCAACCUGGGAAUGGCAGUGGAUACUGGCAAGCUAGAGUGUGUCAGAGGAUGGUGGAAUUCCCGGUAUAGCGGUGAAAUGCGUAGAGAUCGGGAGGAACAUCAGUGGCGAAGGCGGCCAUCUGGGACAACACUGACGCUGAGGCACGAAAGCGUGGGGAGCAAACAGGAUUAGAUACCCCAGUAGUCCCUGUCUCUUAUAC